This 253-nucleotide ribosomal RNA is filed under the name uncultured bacterium. Its description in RNAcentral is "partial 16S ribosomal RNA". It matches the Rfam family "Bacterial small subunit ribosomal RNA", at positions 524 to 776 of the family's 1533-position model. The record is from RNAcentral.
GACGUAGGGCGCGAGCGUUGUCCGGAUUUAUUGGGCGUAAAGAGCUCGUAGGCGGCUUGUCGCGUCGUCCGUGAAAACUUGGGGCUCAACCCCAAGCUUGCGGUCGAUACGGGCAGGCUAGAGUUCGGUAGGGGAGACUGGAAUUCCUGGUGUAGCGGUGAAAUGCGCAGAUAUCAGGAGGAACACCGGUGGCGAAGGCGGGUCUCUGGGCCGAUAUUGACGCGGAGGAGCGAAAGCGUGGGGAGCAAACAGG